This 295-nucleotide ribosomal RNA is filed under the name Gloeocystis sp. A CCCryo147-01. RNAcentral's name for it is "partial 26S ribosomal RNA". It matches the Rfam family "Eukaryotic large subunit ribosomal RNA", at positions 1 to 304 of the family's 3401-position model. The record is from RNAcentral. Lineage: Eukaryota; Viridiplantae; Chlorophyta; Chlorophyceae; Sphaeropleales; Radiococcaceae.
GACCUGAGCUCAGGCAAGAUUACCCGCUGAACUUAAGCAUAUCAAUAAGCGGAGGAAAAGAAACUAACAAGGAUUCCCCUAGUAACGGCGAGCGAACCGGGAAUAGCCCAACUUGAAAAUCUCCCUCUGGAGAAUUGUAGUCUAGAGAAGCGCCCUCUGCGGCGGACGGAGCCCAAGUUUGCUGGAAAGCAACGUCUAUAUGGUGAGAACCCCGUCGGCUCCUGUCUUGCUGCCCCACGAGGUGCUUUCCACCAGUCGGGUUGUUUGGGAAUGCAACCCAAAAUUGGAGGUAAAU